UACGUAGGUGGCAAGCGUUGUCCGGAAUUAUUGGGCGUAAAGGGCGUGUAGGCGGCCAUUUAAGUCAGUUGUGAAAACUCUGGGCUCAACCCAGAGAUUGCAGUUGAAACUGGAUGGCUAGAGUGCAGGAGAGGAGAAUGGAAUUCCUAGUGUAGCGGUGAAAUGCGUAGAGAUUAGGAAGAACACCAGUGGCGAAGGCGAUUCUCUGGACUGUAACUGACGCUGAGGCUCGAAAGCGUGGGGAGCAAACAGGAUUAGAUA
Molecule: ribosomal RNA, 261 nt
Filed under: uncultured prokaryote
Description: partial 16S ribosomal RNA
Rfam family: Bacterial small subunit ribosomal RNA
Source: RNAcentral